This 164-nucleotide ribosomal RNA is filed under the name uncultured bacterium. RNAcentral describes it as "partial 16S rRNA". It matches the Rfam family "Bacterial small subunit ribosomal RNA", at positions 355 to 511 of the family's 1533-position model. The record is from RNAcentral.
CAGGGAAUCUUCCACAAUGGACGCAAGUCUGAUGGAGCAACGCCGCGUGAGUGAAGAAGGUUUUCGGAUCGUAAAGCUCUGUUGUUGGUGAAGAAGGAUAGAGGCAGUAACUGGUCUUUAUUUGACGGUAAUCAACCAGAAAGUCACGGCUAACUACGUGCCAG